This 738-nucleotide long non-coding RNA is filed under the name Capsella rubella. Its description in RNAcentral is "long non-coding RNA (CRUB_LNC000139)". The record is from RNAcentral. Lineage: Eukaryota; Viridiplantae; Streptophyta; Magnoliopsida; Brassicales; Brassicaceae.
UCUGUUUUUAUGAUCCCCGACUUUUCGUAUUAGCUCUAAGUUCUUUCGGUCCGUUUUUAUGAUCCCCGAUUUUGCGUAUUAGCUCUAAAUUCUUUUGGCUUAUUUUUAUGAUCCCCGACUUUGCGUAUCAGCUCUUAGUUCUUUUGGUCAUUUUUAUGAUCCCCGACUUUGCGUAUUAGCUCUAAGUUCUAUCGGUCCGUUUUUAUGAUCCCCGACUUUGCGUAUAAGCUCUAAGUUCUUUUGGUCGUUUCAUGAUCCCCGACUUUGCGUAUUAGCUCUAAGUUCUUACGGUCCGUUUUUAUGAUCCCCGACUUUGCGUAUUAGCUCUAAGUUCUUUCGGUCGUUUUUAUGAUCCCUGAGAUUGUGUAUCAGCUCUAAGUUCUUUUGGUCAAUUUUUAUGAUCCCCGACUUUGCGUAUUAGCUCUAAGUUCUAUCAGUCAGUUUUUAUGAUCCCCGACUUUGCAUAUCAGCUCUAAGUUCUUUCGGUCGUUUUGUGAUCCCCGACGUUGCGUAUUAGCUCUUAGUUCUUUCGGUCAUUUUUAUGAUCCCCGACUUUGCGUAUUAGCUCUAAGUUCUUUCGGUCCGUUUUUAUGAUCCCCAACUUUGCGUAUUAACUCUAAGUUCUUUCGGUCCGUUUUUAUGAUCCCCGACUUUGCGUAUUAGCUCUAAUUUCUUUCGGUCGUUUUUAUGAUCCCCGACUUUGCGUAUUAGCUCUAAGUUCUUUCGGUCGUUUUUAUG